This 1346-nucleotide ribosomal RNA is filed under the name uncultured bacterium. RNAcentral describes it as "bacterial SSU rRNA". It matches the Rfam family "Bacterial small subunit ribosomal RNA", at positions 28 to 1381 of the family's 1533-position model. The record is from RNAcentral.
GACGAACGCUGGCGGCGUGCUUAACACAUGCAAGUCGAACGGAAAGGCCCUGCUUUUGUGGGGUGCUCGAGUGGCGAACGGGUGAGUAACACGUGAGUAACCUGCCCUUGACUUUGGGAUGACUUCAGGAAACUGGGGCUAAUACCGGAUAGGAGCUCCUGCUGCAUGGUGGGGGUUGGAAAGUUUCGGCGGUUGGGGAUGGACUCGCGGCUUAUCAGCUUGUUGGUGGGGUAGUGGCUUACCAAGGCUUUGACGGGUAGCCGGCCUGAGAGGGUGACCGGCCACAUUGGGACUGAGAUACGGCCCAGACUCCUACGGGAGGCAGCAGUGGGGAAUAUUGCACAAUGGGCGGAAGCCUGAUGCAGCAACGCCGCGUGCGGGAUGACGGCCUUCGGGUUGUAAACCGCUUUCGCCUGUGACGAAGCGUGAGUGACGGUAAUGGGUAAAGAAGCACCGGCUAACUACGUGCCAGCAGCCGCGGUGAUACGUAGGGUGCGAGCGUUGUCCGGAUUUAUUGGGCGUAAAGGGCUCGUAGGUGGUUGAUCGCGUCGGAAGUGUAAUCUUGGGGCUUAACCCUGAGCGUGCUUUCGAUACGGGUUGACUUGAGGAAGGUAGGGGAGAAUGGAAUUCCUGGUGGAGCGGUGGAAUGCGCAAAUAUCAGGAGGAACACCAGUGGCGAAGGCGGUUCUCUGGGCCUUUCCUGACGCUGAGGAGCGAAAGCGUGGGGAGCGAACAGGCUUAGAUACCCUGGUAGUCCACGCUGUAAACGGUGGGUACUAGGUGUGGGGUCCAUUCCACGGGUUCCGUGCCGUAGCUAACGCUUUAAGUACCCCGCCUGGGGAGUACGGCCGCAAGGCUAAAACUCAAAGGAAUUGACGGGGCCCCGCACAAGCGGCGGAGCAUGCGGAUUAAUUCGAUGCAACGCGUAGAACCUUACCUGGGUUUGACAUGGAUCGGGAGUGCUCAGAGAUGGGUGUGCCUCUUUUGGGGUCGGUUCACAGGUGGUGCAUGCCUGUCGUCAGCUCGUGUCGUGAGAUGUUGGGUUAAGUCCCGCAACGAGCGCAACCCUUGUUCACUGUUGCCAGCACGUUAUGGUGGGGACUCAGUGGAGACCGCCGGGGUCAACUCGGAGGAAGGUGGGGAUGACGUCAAGUCCUCAUGCCCCUUAUGUCCAGGGCUUCACGCAUGCUACAAUGGCUGGUACAGAGAGUGGCGAGCCUGUGAGGGUGAGCGAAUCUCGGAAAGCCGGUCUCAGUUCGGAUUGGGGUCUGCAACCCGACCUCAUGAAGUCGGAGUCGCUAGUAAUCGCAGAUCAGCAACGCUGCGGUGAAUACGUUCCCGGGGCU